GACGAACGCUGGCGGCGUGCCUAAUACAUGCAAGUAGAACGCACAGUUUAUACCGUAGCUUGCUACACCAUAAACUGUGAGUUGCGAACGGGUGAGUAACGCGUAGGUAACCUGCCUGGUAGCGGGGGAUAACUAUUGGAAACGAUAGCUAAUACCGCAUAAUAUUAAUUAUUGCAUGAUAAUUGAUUGAAAGAUGCAAUUGCAUCACUACCAGAUGGACCUGCGUUGUAUUAGCUAGUAGGUGAGGUAACGGCUCACCUAGGCGACGAUACAUAGCCGACCUGAGAGGGUGAUCGGCCACACUGGGACUGAGACACGGCCCAGACUCCUACGGGAGGCAGCAGUAGGGAAUCUUCGGCAAUGGACGAAAGUCUGACCGAGCAACGCCGCGUGAGUGAAGAAGGUUUUCGGAUCGUAAAGCUCUGUUGUAAGAGAAGAACGAGUGUGAGAGUGGAAAGUUCACACUGUGACGGUAUCUUACCAGAAAGGGACGGCUAACUACGUG
Molecule: ribosomal RNA, 505 nt
Filed under: uncultured bacterium
Lineage: Bacteria
Description: partial 16S ribosomal RNA
Rfam family: Bacterial small subunit ribosomal RNA
Source: RNAcentral